UGGGGAAUAUUGCACAAUGGGCGCAAGCCUGAUGCAGCCAUGCCGCGUGUAUGAAGAAGGCCUUCGGGUUGUAAAGUACUUUCAGCGGGGAGGAAGGGAGUAAAGUUAAUACCUUUGCUCAUUGACGUUACCCGCAGAAGAAGCACCGGCUAACUCCGUGCCAGCAGCCGCGGUAAUACGGAGGGUGCAAGCGUUAAUCGGAAUUACUGGGCGUAAAGCGCACGCAGGCGGUUUGUUAAGUCAGAUGUGAAAUCCCCGGGCUCAACCUGCGAACGGCAUCUGAUAGUGGCAAGUUUUAGUCUCGUAGAGGGGGGUAGAAUUCAAGGUGGAGCGGUGAAAUGCGUAGAGAUCUGGAGGAAUACCGGUGGCGAAGGCGGCCCCCUGGACGACGACUGACGCUCAGGUGCGAAAGCGUGGGGAGCAAACAGG
RNAcentral lists this ribosomal RNA (429 nucleotides) under Chloroflexota bacterium. Its description in RNAcentral is "Chloroflexi bacterium partial 16S ribosomal RNA". It matches the Rfam family "Bacterial small subunit ribosomal RNA", at positions 355 to 776 of the family's 1533-position model. The record is from RNAcentral. Lineage: Bacteria; Bacillati; Chloroflexota.